UACGAAGGGGGCUAGCGUUGCUCGGAAUCACUGGGCGUAAAGCGCACGUAGGCGGACUCUUAAGUCAGGGGUGAAAUCCUGGAGCUCAACUCCAGAACUGCCUUUGAUACUGGGAGUCUUGAGUUCGGGAGAGGUGAGUGGAACUGCGAGUGUAGAGGCGAAAUUCGUAGAUAUUCGCAAGAACACCAGUGGCGAAGGCGGCUCACUGGUCCGGUACUGACGCUGAGGUGCGAAAGCGUGGGGAGCAAACAGG
Molecule: ribosomal RNA, 253 nt
Filed under: uncultured bacterium
Lineage: Bacteria
Description: partial 16S ribosomal RNA
Rfam family: Bacterial small subunit ribosomal RNA
Source: RNAcentral